CUCUGGGUAAACAACUCCAGGUCCAGGACAUUUUUAGCUUUUAUAAUGGAGCACAGCAUUUUCAAACAUGCCAAAAGAGCUGGUGUGAAUAUCACACAAUGACAAUGACCAAUUUUAGAUUUCUGUUAUUUGGAAAUGUCAGCUCCGUUCUUAUAUAGUACUACAAUCCAAACAGGAAUACAAAGUAAACCAAGUCUACAAAGAAGCUCCUACUUGACUCAUGAAGAAUUCAGCUUAUCCCGGAAACUGGUUCCAGAUGUUAGCAUGAUGCUGACCAUACUUCUCUGGACAGACAACUCCACCAAUGUGUCCUGGAGCUCCGCUGCCCCAGAGCCCCACCCUACUAGGCUGGGAGUAUGGAUCAAUCAGUCAAGGCCCAUGUUCAGAGUGGAAGCAACUAAAGAAGCCAAAACUUCCACCUUCUGCAUCCCACAAUAACCCUGUGUCCAUACUCCCAGAGGGAUAAAGAAUAGGAAAACUAUCAGGGGAAGGGAUGGGAUAUGAAGAUCUGGUGGUGGGAAUUUUGUGAAGUUGUAACCCUCUCAUCCUAUGGUUUUGUCAAUGUUUCCUUUUUACAAAAAAAAAAAAAAAAGAAAAAAGAAAAAGAAAAAGAAUGCCUAUCUGCCACAAGAGGGCCACCCCGAGUCACUUUGUGCUACUUAAGAACUCAGAGCAAUAAAACAAUGCUUAAGCUGUCUGUCACCUACCCCUCCAGUCCUUGUCUUGUCACUCAUUAUUAAAUCAAUAAUAAUAAAAAUAUGUCAUUUAUCAAGUUUAAUUUGAAGGGCACAGGAGUUAGUCAUACAUCCACUCCCACAGAAAGCUGCUUACCUACCUUUACGGUCUAUCAGAAAUUCUAGAUUCAUUAUCACUAGGUGAUACUGUUUCAUUCUUGGUAAAUGUCUAUUAAAUUGUCUUUGACAGAGGAAACAAUUAUUGACCAGACUGGAGAUAAGGGUACAGCUAUGGAGAUCUAAAGUCAUAUUUCACUCUGGUCCUAGGAGCAAAAUGACCAGAGGACCACAGAAUCUGACAGACCUACACAACGGCCUCAUAGGCAUAAAACCUUGGUGGGUGGUUUACCUGUGAGCAUCUCAAAUAACUUGAAAGAAAAAGGUGAUGUUCGGGAGUUGGGCAGUGGCACAGUGGGUUAAGCGCAAGUGGCGCAAAGCGCAAGGACCAGCCCAAGGAUCCCGGUUCAAGUCCCCCGCUCCCCACCUGCAGGGAAGUCACUUCACAAGCAGUGAAGCAGGUCUGUAGGUGUCUAUCUUUCUCCCCACCUCUCCAUUUCUCUCUGUCCUAUCCAACAACCACGACAUCAAUAACCCCAACAAUGUUAAACAAGGGCAACAAAAGGGAAAAUAAAUAUUUAAAAA
This is a long non-coding RNA of Erinaceus europaeus (western European hedgehog), 1376 nucleotides long. RefSeq lists it as uncharacterized. The record is from RefSeq and is a predicted model, not a curated record. The transcript is spliced from 3 exons. Lineage: Eukaryota; Metazoa; Chordata; Mammalia; Eulipotyphla; Erinaceidae.